Molecule: ribosomal RNA, 253 nt
Filed under: uncultured bacterium
Lineage: Bacteria
Description: partial 16S ribosomal RNA
Rfam family: Bacterial small subunit ribosomal RNA
Source: RNAcentral
UACGUAGGGGGCAAGCGUUGUUCGGAAUUACUGGGCGUAAAGGGCUCGUAGGCGGUUUGUCGCGUCGGGAGUGAAAACUCAGGGCUUAACCCUGAGCCUGCUUCCGAUACGGGCAGACUAGAGGUAUGCAGGGGAGAACGGAAUUCCUGGUGUAGCGGUGAAAUGCGCAGAUAUCAGGAGGAACACCGGUGGCGAAGGCGGUUCUCUGGGCAUUACCUGACGCUGAGGAGCGAAAGUGUGGGGAGCGAACAGG